CAACCAAUGCAUGUACAGAUUUAAUUGAAAAAGGAUGUUGGUACAUGAAGAAGCAGCUGCCUAGUAUGCAUUCAAUGUGGAACUAUUGCCCUGCAUCUCCGAAUAUUGGUGGAGCAAAUAUGACGGAGGAAAUCUCCACUGAAUUGUUACAAGGUAUCCAACUCCGAGCCCAUGUAGGACAAGAGGAAAGAAUUUGCAGCUGGAGAAACUGAUAGAAGAUGUGGCAUCUUUAAAACAAAAAUACAAAACGGUUGUUAAAGGGAUUGCCCAAUUUUUGUUGCCAUUGUUAAAGAAAAAGUUAACACAUUGCUGUGUUGAAGAAAGCUCACAAGAGUUUGCUGGAGAAGAGAAACACUAAUGGCGAGAUGUUGAAUGAAGAUUGUGUUCUCUGCUAAGCAGGCACUGGUUUGCAUGAUGGCUUGUGUUUAAUAUUACUUGAUCAGGGUUCAUACAGGUCAUCAAAAUCCUGCAAC
Molecule: long non-coding RNA, 473 nt
Organism: Gigantopelta aegis
Lineage: Eukaryota; Metazoa; Mollusca; Gastropoda; Neomphalida; Peltospiridae
Exons: 3
Source: RefSeq, a predicted model, not a curated record